RNAcentral lists this ribosomal RNA (465 nucleotides) under uncultured bacterium. RNAcentral's name for it is "partial 16S ribosomal RNA". It matches the Rfam family "Bacterial small subunit ribosomal RNA", at positions 28 to 507 of the family's 1533-position model. The record is from RNAcentral.
GACGAACGCUGGCGGCGUGCUUAACACAUGCAAGUCGAACGGAAAGGCCCCUUUGGGGGUACUCGAGUGGCGAACGGGUGAGUAACACGUGAGUAACCUGCCCUUGACUUCGGGAUAACUUCAGGAAACUGAGGCUAAUACCGGAUAGGAAUCCUUGCUGCAUGGUGGGGGUUGGAAAGCUUCGGCGGUUUUGGAUGGACUCGCGGCUUAUCAGCUUGUUGGUGGGGUAGUGGCUUACCAAGGCUUUGACGGGUAGCCGGCCUGAGAGGGCGACCGGCCACAUUGGGACUGAGAUACGGCCCAGACUCCUACGGGAGGCAGCGGUGGGGAAUAUUGCACAAUGGGCGGAAGCCUGAUGCAGCAACGCCGCGUGCGGGAUGACGGCCUUCGGGUUGUAAACCGCUUUCAGCAGGGGCGAAGCUUGUGGUGACGGUACCUGCAGAAGAAGCACCGGCUAACUACGUG